Molecule: long non-coding RNA, 742 nt
Filed under: Mus musculus (house mouse)
Lineage: Eukaryota; Metazoa; Chordata; Mammalia; Rodentia; Muridae
Description: long non-coding RNA chr11:80209094-80209836
Source: RNAcentral
GCUCCCAAGCGGAGCGGUAGAGGAGGAGUCGGUGCGGCAGGUCCUGGCGGCCGAGAUUCGGGCGCAGAGGCCGCUAAGGCUGGCAGGGAGCGGCGGUAUCGCGGGGAGAGCGGCGCCACGGGCUGGACGCUCCCGGCGUGAGGCGUGCGCUCCAUGCGUGCGGGCCGAGUGCGGCCCCUGCGAGCCUCCGACAUGAAGAAAGACGUGAGGAUCCUGCUGGUGGGAGAACGUGAGUCCGCGCCCUGCCCGGCCUCGCAGCCCGGGUGCCCUCUCCAAGCCUGCCAGCCCCUUUGCUCUUCCCUACCGUGGCCCUCUGCUCCUCGCAGGCCUUGUCCCCCUUCAGUCCCUAACGCCCGGUCCUCUCGCUGCGAAAGCUGUCGCCGUCGCCACCACCUCCUCGAGUUCUUUCCUCUUGGGCCUCAGCGUUUGUCGGGCCACCUCCCGUCCGACCCUCUGGUCGCCUGUCAGUCACUCAUUGCCAGGCAGAUGUUGGAACAGGCAGACUGAGCACUUGGGACUGCGGGAACCGGCUGGCGGGGGACACUAGGGGGAGGAGGAGUGCAGAAGUAGUCGACUUGGGAGCAAGGUCAGGUCUCUGGAAUUUUUUUUUUUUUUUUUUUUCACUUGCUGCCUUCACUGCUACUGUGCAUGGGCAUUAAGAGAGAGCGUUGGCUUGCUUGAGUAAGUAGCUCAGUAGUAGAAUUCUAGCAUGCAUAAAAACCUGGAUUCAGUCUCCAGCACC